Molecule: ribosomal RNA, 253 nt
Filed under: uncultured bacterium
Lineage: Bacteria
Description: partial 16S ribosomal RNA
Rfam family: Bacterial small subunit ribosomal RNA
Source: RNAcentral
UACGGAGGGCGCGAGCGUUGUCCGGAAUCACUGGGCGUAAAGGGUGCGUAGGCGGCCUGAUAAGUAGGGGGUGAAAUCCUGCGGCUUAACCGCAGGGCUGCCUUCUAAACUGUCGGGCUCGAGCACAGUAGAGGCAGGUGGAAUUCCCGGUGUAGCGGUGGAAUGCGUAGAGAUCGGGAAGAACAUCAGUGGCGAAGGCGGCCUGCUGGGCUGUUGCUGACGCUGAGGCGCGACAGCGUGGGGAGCAAACAGG